GAGGAUCGUUGUCCAAGACUGUUCCCGUUCAACUUUUGUUGAUUCUUUGACUCGGGAAACAUCGUUUCCUUUUGGUGUUUCACCCUUAUCUCUAAGACUCUUUAUGAGCGAUGUUGUUGAUUUGAACUUACCAUCGUACACGAUCUCCUUGUUGGUCGUUAUUUUGGUUGUUUUGGCUCUUUGUAGCCUCGUUGUAUCCUCCGUUGGUGGAGGCUAACUUCUAUCUCUAAUGAAAUUUUAAGUUUGUAAAAAAAAAGUCAUCUAGUUAUUAAACGCAAUGUUUCCGAGUUCUUAUCCCAUUUGGGACCCAAUUUCAACAAGUCUUUCUCCAUACUUGAAAACACUCUUCAUGCAUCUUUAGCACUUGUAAUCAAUCAAAUUUAUUGUAUUCUAAUAUAUUCUAAACCCAAAAAACACUAUAUAAUUAAUUUAGUGGUUCAGCGCAAUGUUUCCGAGUUCUUAGCCCAUUU
RNAcentral lists this long non-coding RNA (470 nucleotides) under Capsella rubella. RNAcentral describes it as "long non-coding RNA (CRUB_LNC000196)". Lineage: Eukaryota; Viridiplantae; Streptophyta; Magnoliopsida; Brassicales; Brassicaceae. The record is from RNAcentral.